Long non-coding RNA from Amaranthus tricolor (Joseph's coat), 2854 nucleotides. RefSeq lists it as uncharacterized. The record is from RefSeq and is a predicted model, not a curated record. The transcript is spliced from 4 exons. Lineage: Eukaryota; Viridiplantae; Streptophyta; Magnoliopsida; Caryophyllales; Amaranthaceae.
GUUUUAGUAGCUGGAAUCAGAUCUAGGAGUAUCUGAAAUUGCAUUAAAAAAUAUGUGCAAUUACCAUUUUUGAUCCUAGAGAAACUUAAAUUUUCUCAUUUUGUAGUUAUUGAAUGCAUUUGGAAUUAGAAGAUUUGUAAAGAAAGCAGGCUACAGUUUUGUGUUGCUUCUAAUGAGAUUGUAAUGAUUAUAUUCUCAUGUUUGACAUGCUCAAAGGUUAUAAUGCUUGAAAUUUUAACUAGCCUGAUAUAUCACCUAUAGGUUGAACAUCUUUAGUCCUUUGAAAUGGGCUCAAUUUGGAAACAAGAAUCCAGAUAAUUGAGGAGUUACACGUUGCUAUCAGCACAAUUGAAAGUUUGAGAGGUGCUACUGUGGAACCACUUGGGUCUUUUGUGUCUCAGCUAUUUUCUUGCUAGGGAGAUCUAGAUUUAAGCUAUCCAAUGGAUUAUACAUUGCAAUUGCUGCCAGGCUGCACAAGCAGGCUUUAUUAGUGGAUGUACUUAAAGCAUUAUGGAGGGCAUGUUAUUUCUAUAAAUCAUACUUGAUCAUCUUCAUGGGGCUGAAAAUCUUUUUCUAACCACCGAAAGAGCUUUUAUUUGCGUUUCUGAAGUCUUGCAGCUUCUUAAGUUCGUCUAAGAUCACUGACAUGUAUGUCUUGAUCAGACUUUGAUGUACACCAACUCUUGAUUUGUCAAGUGCACGUCGUCACUACAACAGUUCGUUGUGAAUCCAGAAUAAAGGUAGAGAAAUGCCGACUUUACUAUCUUUGCCUCCGAGGGUAAUAAUCUUUCAACUGACCCUUUUUGGAAUUUUAGCUGCAAAUAUUAUGUUUUAGGUCAACAGAAAUUUAUUUUGGUUCGGGUACAAUAAAUAUUUUGGUUUGAAAGCUCUAAUGUCUCUAUCGUUGUUUGCAAAUUUCCUAUGUUAUUAGGCUAUAAGCAGAAUCAAUCUUUCUAUUGUUUCCUUUUGUCUCUCUGUGAUUACGAUCUUAAACCUUAUGUUUCCUUUAUUGCAAUAAAUCAUUGAAGAUUCAUCAUUGAAUUUUGAUUGGAUAUUAGAACCUUGGUUGUCUUUGCUGAUGUUAAUAGUUUUAUAGGCUUGUAGAUAAGAACAGAAGACGGGAAUGAUAUUUAUAUGUAUGUUGCUAUUUUAAAUGAAGAAAUUCAUGAUGAUAUAACUAAUGCGAAUGGUUGCUAACUCUGGAAUUAGCUCCUUCUAUGUUGCUAUUUUAAAUUUGAAUACAUAAUGUUUCUACACAAGGUACCUUGACAGGUCGUGUUUUAGUUUUGCGAACACGAGCUCUAUGGCCUCGUGAGGCUGCUACUGCAGCUUUCGCCUUGCCAAGGUCGCAACUAUUGCAGCCCUGUCGAGGCUGCUGCUGCAGCUGGCCUAGAAAGGUUGCAGCUGCUGCUGCCCUGCAGAGGCUGCUGUUGCAGCUGCCUUGGCAAGACUGCAGCUGCUACUACUCUGCUGAGGCUGCUACCGCUGUGUACCUCGCACCUCAAAGCACCUGUUAUGCAAAGGGACUUUGCAUUGUUCUAUGUCUGUAUGUUAGCUUACUUUUUUAUGCUUUGUAUGGGUUGCCUUAUGUUACAACCUCACUAAUCAAUUUUUGCUUUCAAAUCCCAAGUUAACUUGGGGGUUCAAUAAACUUUUCAUUUAUCAUUUCAGAAUUGUGUUUCUACUACUUAUCCAAGUUUUUCUUUCGAUUACGCCCACUACACGCUGCAUUUCUCUUCUUUGCUUUUGCUAAUGUGUUGCUGUUCUGUUACUAUGCUGCUGCUGUUCUGCUAUUUUGGUCAUUGAAACUGGGCUUGCUCAUGAAGUUGCUGAUAAACACUUUGCUGAGCAUAUUAUAACAGUUAAUUAUGCAAGCUUUCUCAAAUUUCUCAAAGGCGCCUCUAGAAUGCUCGGCUCGGGGAGCUAUCAACUACAACUUCCCUGAGAGUAGAAGAGUAGCAAAAGAGCUAAAGGAGCGAAAGGUUAGACCUUAGAAAGUAAGCGAACAACAUAAUGAAGAAGACUGCGCUUUGACUUAAGGGGAUAGACCUAAAGUCUUCGCUUCCUCCCUACAGAAGGAACUCAAGAUCAGCUAUGGAUUUUGAUUACGCCCACUACACGCUGCAUUUCUCUUCUUUGCUGCUGCUUCUGUGCUAUUGUUCUGCUUUUGUGCUGCUACUUAGGCAUUGUUUGCACCGGAUUAAAUAGGUGCGAAUAACUUUUUUCAAUUUUUGAAGGCAUUAUUCGCACUGUUUAACCGGUGCGAAUAAAUGUUAUUCCCACCAGUUUUGAACCGGUGUGAAUAAUUUCACUUAUUCGCACCCCUCUAAUCUAACCGGUUCUAUAUCGGUGCGAAAAGCCGGUUUUGAACCAGUGUUCAUUUAGUUUUUUCUACUAGUGACCCUCGUCUAUCUUUUAUCAUACGGAGUAUAUAAAUAUAUAUAAAUAAUAAUCAACCACAACUCUCUUUUAUCACUGCAAUCAAGCAUAUCCCAUUACCCAAAGCUACCUGAAGAUCUAAGCAAAUUUUCAAUAAUCAAGGUCCGAAAUCCUUGUAAAUUUUCUCGUUUUUUUAUUUUUUUUAUUUUUGACUUUUAGUUUAUUUGGGUUUAUAGUAUGUCUGCUACUAAGUAUGAUUAUAGAUUUUUUGGUUACUUAAAUCAUAUUCGUACUCCUAUUUGAUAUGGUAGGAUUAGUUGCUGAAAUAUUAUUGGAUCAAUUCAUUUUAUGUAUUGUAUUUCUGAAUUGAUUUUAGGUUUGUGUACAGUUUGUAAAAAAAUUUAAUUUCACUGAGAUACUCGUAUGUUAUAGUCCUCAUAGAUACUUUAUGAUAUAAAUUAAUAUCGGUCUUUCU